This 231-nucleotide long non-coding RNA is filed under the name Elaeis guineensis (African oil palm). RNAcentral's name for it is "long non-coding RNA (EGUI_LNC071112)". The record is from RNAcentral. Lineage: Eukaryota; Viridiplantae; Streptophyta; Magnoliopsida; Arecales; Arecaceae.
UUACCGUGAUGAUCCUAUUUGGAUCACCAAAUACCCCCUUAGGAUUUUUUAUUUUUAUUUUUGUUUUUUUGGGUAAGAACUUCUUAUCCCGAGGCUUGGCUUGCACUCUGAAGGCAGAGAAGUAAACUAACGCUUUAAGCUUCCCAAAUAAAGCGUUUUAAUUUGAAACGAAGUUAUAUCUUGUGUCUGAUGUACUAGCUGAGCGAUAUCGGACCAAUAAUAUAUCACCAC